RNAcentral lists this long non-coding RNA (1073 nucleotides) under Mytilus galloprovincialis (Mediterranean mussel). The record is from RNAcentral. Lineage: Eukaryota; Metazoa; Mollusca; Bivalvia; Mytilida; Mytilidae.
GCCGCUUAAUAUCACCUGUAUGUGCUCUCAUGUGUAAACCGUUUUCAUGUGUCUGCUGACUAAUAACUUGACCACAUAUAUAACAGUAAUGAGGUUUUUUCACGUGUAUGUGUUCUCAUGUGUGAACCGUUCUUGUGUGUCUCUGUAAAUUACCAAGCUGACUAAACCCUUUACCACAUAAAAUACAGUUAUGAGGUUUAUCACCUGUAUGUAUUCUCAUGUGAAUUUUUAAGCCUACAAGCUGAGUAAACCGUUUACCACAUACAUCACAGUCAUGAGGUUUAUCGCCUGUAUGGGUUCUCAUGUGUUUUUGUAAAUUACUAUGUUCACUGAACCUUUUACCACAUACAUCACAGUCAUGAGGUUUAUCGCCUGUAUGGGUUCUCAUGUGUUUUUGUAAAUUACAAUGCACACUGAACCUUUUACCACAUACAUCACAUUCAUGAGGUUUGUCACCGGUAUGUGUUCUCGUGUGUCUUCUUAAAUCACCAAGCUCACUAAACUGUUUACCACAUACAUCACAGUUAUGAGGUUUAUCACCUGUAUGUGUUCUCAUGUGCUUCUUUAAAUUACUAUAAUGACUGAACCCUUUGCAACAUAAAUCACAUAUAUAAGGUUUAUCACCUGUAUGUGUUCUCAUGUGAUCCCGUAAAUAAUUUAUACGACUAAACCCUUUACCACAUUCCCCACAGUCAUACGGUUUAUCACCUGUAUGUAUUCUCGCAUGUUUCUGUAAGCUACUCUGAUGAUUAAACUGUUGAUCACAUAAAUCACAUGCGUGAGGUUUUUCUCCUGUAUGUAUUCUCAUGUGAAUCUGUAAACUACUCUGCUGAUUAAACUGUUGAUCACAUAAAUCACACUCAUGAGGUUUUUCACCUGUAUGUAUUCUCUUGUGUAUCUGUAAACUACCAUGCUGAAUAAAUCUUUUACCACACAAAUUGCACUCAUGAGGUUUAUCACCUGUAUGUAUUUUGAUGUGUCUCUGUAAAGAAGCAUAUAGACUAAACCUUUUACCACAUACAUCACAGUCAUAAGGUUUAUCUCCAGAAUGUAUUAGCAUGUGUCUAGUUAGG